Molecule: long non-coding RNA, 1209 nt
Filed under: Pogona vitticeps (central bearded dragon)
Lineage: Eukaryota; Metazoa; Chordata; Lepidosauria; Squamata; Agamidae
Description: lncRNA (ENSPVIG00000010001.1)
Source: RNAcentral
UAAAAUUAACAUAAACUUUGUGCAUAUAAAUUACUGUAUUUGCUACAAUCUCAACUUCAAGUAAAGACGGCCUUUUCCAGCAUAUUUGUUAAAAAUUGCUUAGCGCAUCUUUUUCCUAGGGUUACAGAAACCAACCUGAAAUGAAACUAGCUGUUAAAGAAUUCAUUGUUCUCUGUAGUUGCAGUGGUACCUGAAAUAAAAAUGUUAUUGAUGACCAAAUUUUCUUGUGUGUAUAGUUGGCGAGCUGUAUUAAACAGGAAAAAAAGAAAUUACUUGUAUUUUCUUCACUCUGUGCUUUGAAAACAUCUAUUUGAUUUCACCUCCAUCUGUUGUAAUCAAUAACCUGACCACCUUGUUUUUUUUAUUAAAUGCACUUACUCUUACCUUCAUCCACCAGAGGUUUUAGAGAGAAUAACAUGGAGUUACCUAUAUGAGUUUGACCUUAUAAAUCACUUCUCGGGGCUGAAUCGUAUAGUGGUAUCGAUUGAUCCUGAUAUAUCACAGAAAUUUACUGUUGCUUCUGUUUUCAAUGAAAGAUGCAAUCAGUUAGAUAAUGACUUCAUUGGAUUUUACAGAAGACUGAGUGCUUUCCGAGUUUAGCUGAGGAAGAUCCUUUUAUCACACUUGUCAGCCAGGCCCUGCAGUUGGGUGCACCUUUGGCUGAUGCUCGCUGCUGUUGCCAUUGUGACAGGCGCAUACUUGGAUUAUGAGCUCCUGCCCUGUACCAGCUCAUAAUGAGGUUUACAGUGGGGGUGUCUUGCCGGACCUAAGGCUCCCCCCAGGCUGCCAGUCCGGAUCUGAUCCAGCACAGCCCAGGGGCCUGACCGGAAGCUGGAGGCUGGGUCCCUCAUGUCAUGCAGCUACUAUUUGUUUUUUUGUUGCAUUUGUUUGUUCCUGCUCCUCCUGUUGACCACCUACCUCCUUGGGCUCAGGAAUGGCCAUCUCCAGGGCAGAAGAGUGGCCAGAAGGGAAGAGUGCGAAUGCAGCCGGCACUGCCAGUGCUCCAGUGGACUGAGAGAGGAGUGCCAACCCUCUUUGAAGAGCCGCCGCUGACCAUGUUCCAUCCGCACCCAGCAAGCAGUUGAGGAGGAGGCCUCCCUUCUUUCCUUUCCUUUCCUCCCUCCCUUCCACUGUGAAUGUUGCCUUUUAAUGGAAGGGCAGGGUUUAAAGAUAAUGAAUAAAAUAAAAUAAAUCGUAAAUCGUAAAUCA